This 251-nucleotide small RNA is filed under the name Cryptococcus neoformans H99. RNAcentral's name for it is "Cryptococcus neoformans var. grubii H99 hypothetical RNA". Lineage: Eukaryota; Fungi; Basidiomycota; Tremellomycetes; Tremellales; Cryptococcaceae. The record is from RNAcentral.
CAUAUACUUCUUACAUACAUACGUCCGUACACCGUACGCAUUCUGCUGAUUUUUUGUGGGAUAUAGAUGUUGUUGAAUACGAAUGUCGGUGUGCGUCAUCAGUCGUUCUCGCUAUUCAUUAUUAUCAAUAGGUAGCAGUAAAUACGUAUGGUCACUAAAGUUACUUUUGCUACUUAGCAGCCAUUGACUGGCAAUUAAUGAUCCACAGUAUGUAUGAUGACACAGUGAAUGCAGAAAUCCAUAAAAUAGUG